UUUUUAUGGAGAGUUUGAUCCUGGCUCAGGAUGAACGCUGGCGGCGUGCCUAAUACAUGCAAGUCGAGCGAACAGACGAGGAGCUUGCUCCUCUGACGUUAGCGGCGGACGGGUGAGUAACACGUGGAUAACCUACCUAUA
Molecule: ribosomal RNA, 141 nt
Filed under: Staphylococcus epidermidis NIHLM057
Lineage: Bacteria; Bacillati; Bacillota; Bacilli; Caryophanales; Staphylococcaceae
Description: partial 16S ribosomal RNA
Rfam family: Bacterial small subunit ribosomal RNA
Source: RNAcentral